Molecule: non-coding RNA, 155 nt
Filed under: uncultured Clostridium sp.
Lineage: Bacteria; Bacillati; Bacillota; Clostridia; Eubacteriales; Clostridiaceae
Source: RNAcentral
UAGUAUUUUAGGUGCUUUUUAAAAGUGAAAAGGGAAUAUGGUUAGAAUCCAUAGCAGCCCCCGCUACUGUAAAUGAUGACGACCCUCAAAAUACCACUCUGAAUAGGGGAAGGUGAGGUUAGAAUGAUUCAUAAGCCAGGAGACCUGCCUAAAUG